UACGGGGGGGGCAAGCGUUGUUCGGAAUUACUGGGCGUAAAGCGCGUGUAGGCGGCCGAAUAAGUCUGACGUGAAAUCCCCCGGCCCAACCGGGGAACUGCGUUUGAUACUGUUCGGCUCGAGUCCGGGAGAGGGUAGUGGAAUUCCCAGUGUAGCGGUGAAAUGCGUAGAUAUUGGGAGGAACACCGGUGGCGAAGGCGGCUACCUGGACCGGUACUGACGCUGAGGCGCGAAAGCUAGGGUAGCAAACAGG
Molecule: ribosomal RNA, 253 nt
Filed under: uncultured bacterium
Lineage: Bacteria
Description: partial 16S ribosomal RNA
Rfam family: Bacterial small subunit ribosomal RNA
Source: RNAcentral